UCAUUAAAGCGCCGCCGACGACCGCUCGGGCGCAUCCGGCUUGGAAUACAGCCGGGUGCGUUCCUCGAGCGGCCGGCAGUUGCCCAUUCUUGUCUACUGACCCAGUUGCCUCGGCGGGCCGCUCCGCACUCGUGGACGGCCGGACACCCCUGGUCUGCGCCCGCCGGCGGACAUUUAUAAAACCAAUAUUCUUAGGUUGUCUGAGCGUAUAAAGCAAAUCAGUUAAAACUUUCAACAACGGAUCUCUUGGUUCCGGCAUCGAUGAAGAACGCAGCGAAAUGCGAUAAGUAAUGUGAAUUGCAGAAUUCCGUGAAUCAUCGAAUCUUUGAACGCACAUUGCGCCCUCUGGUAUUCCGGGGGGCAUGCCUGUUCGAGCGUCAUUGCAACCCUCAAGCUCGGCUUGUGUGAUGGGCGGCCGUCCAGCCUCCGGGCGAGGACGCGCCCGAAAUGCAGUGGCCAGGCCGCGACUCCGGCGCCUGAGCGAAUGGGAUUUCCAACGCUUCUAGGACCGGCCGGCUCCUGGCCUUCUAACCAGGACGGACUCCCUCCCUCUGGGGCGGGGGUGCGUCUCCUUCUUAAGGUUGACCUCGGAUCAGGUAGGGAUACCCGCUGAACUUAAGCAUAUCA
RNAcentral lists this unclassified non-coding RNA (627 nucleotides) under Arthroderma chiloniense. RNAcentral's name for it is "sequence contains ITS1, 5.8S rRNA gene, ITS2". The stretch from base 227 to 380 matches the Rfam family "5.8S ribosomal RNA". Lineage: Eukaryota; Fungi; Ascomycota; Eurotiomycetes; Onygenales; Arthrodermataceae. The record is from RNAcentral.